UUACCGUAGGUGAACCUGCGGAAGGAUCAUUAUUGGAUUUUGAAACUUCAGGCUGCUGCUGGCUCUCCUCGGAGGGCAUGUGCACGCUUGUUGUCCAUUAUUUCUCCCACUGUGCACAAGUUGUAGACCUUUCAGUAGGCCUAUGUUGUUUUUCACAAUCUCUGAAUGUAAUAGAAUGGUUUUGAAUCUUGGGAAAUACAAUACAACUUUCAGCAACGGAUCUCUUGGCUCUC
Molecule: unclassified non-coding RNA, 233 nt
Filed under: plant metagenome
Description: partial contains small subunit ribosomal RNA, internal transcribed spacer 1, and 5.8S ribosomal RNA
Source: RNAcentral